Artibeus jamaicensis (Jamaican fruit-eating bat) is the source of this 102-nucleotide small nuclear RNA. The record is from RefSeq and is a predicted model, not a curated record. NCBI's taxonomy places the organism in Eukaryota, Metazoa, Chordata, Mammalia, Chiroptera, Phyllostomidae.
UGCUCACUUCAGCAGCACUCAUACUAAACUGGACUGAUAUGGAGAUUAGCACUGACCCUGUGCAUGGAUGGUACGAAAAUCUGUAACGCGUUCCAUAUUUUU